Molecule: non-coding RNA, 4947 nt
Organism: Poecilia reticulata (guppy)
Lineage: Eukaryota; Metazoa; Chordata; Actinopteri; Cyprinodontiformes; Poeciliidae
Source: RefSeq, a predicted model, not a curated record
GAAAAAGUGACGGCUUCGCGCGCUCCGCUACGCCUUCUAUUUCAUCAUCAGCAACACCCCCCCUCUUCACUACGCGUUCACUGUCUCCUCCUCUCCCUCUCUCUCUCUUUUUCUCUCUCUCUGUCUCUUUUUCACCCCCCCCCUGUCUUUCUUCUUCCCCGUUUCGUUUGCUCCCCUCUUUCUGCUCCAGCCUCACGCAAGGGGGAGACUGAAGCUCUGCGAGGGGAAAAGAGAGAGAGGAAAAAAAGUGCUGCUAUUUCUACAGUCAGGGCCUCCCCACAGCCCACCCUUCCAUAGACGGAGCUGCUUUUUCUUUUUUUCUUUUCUUUUUUUUCACUCACUACUAGCUGGAUUUUAACCCUCUGCUUCCAACUAGCUGCACAGCAGCAGUUCUGCAAAACCUGGCAACAAGUUGAUAUUCCAGGGGCCUUUUCUCUGACUUUUGCUGCAUAGAUUUUUUUGCGUCUUUCUUUGGAUUUUCUCGCCCUUUUGCUGUUGAAUUUCUUUUUUUCACUUAGAAAGAACAAAAUAUUCUAACUUUGUUGGGGAUUUUUUUUUGCCCCCCCUCUCCACUUACGGUUUUUGAGUCGAAUUCAUUCGCUUCUGGUUUUCUUUUGAAUGGAUUUUUAAUUUUUUUAAAUCUUUUUCCUUUUCGGCGGCCUGGUGCGUGGGGACCAGAGGGCAGGGAGGGGGGCACGAGGGAUGAAAUUUCUCGGCUGGAUGGGAAAGCCGGGGCGCCAUUUCGGGUAACCUGCUUGCGGUAGGCUUGCGGUCUGGAUGACCACACAGUGGAUUUCAGUGAGGAGAACGCGGCCUGUGUGGCCGGAAGGCGGCUGCUGCACGUUUCAGUGUUUCUAAACACCCGUCCGCCAUCGCCACUUUUGACCCGCAUGAACUUCCGUACCGUGUUUGUUUUUUCGCUCAGCUUUUUGCCCCCCUCUUGUUUCCUUCCCGUGUCUUGCCGUUUGUCUCUCCCUCUCUCUCGCUCUCUCUCCGUCCGUCUAUCUCUCUCUCUCCCCGCUUCACGCCGACUGAAAGGGAACGAGUGGAGAGCUGAGCCGAAGCGCUUUCUGGGACAGGUGCCAACUCCAGACAAAAGAAAAUUUUAAACUCAACAGCAGAGGGAAAACGUUCCGAGUCGGAAAACAAUCUUUGAAUAGUUGCAUCGGAAUAUCUGGUGUUUGCACGUUGCGCCCCCUUGCAUGUACAAAUUGUUCCUCUGUGAUUGUGUAUUUCUGUGUGUGUGUGCGCAGUGUUGAAACUAAACGUUUCAGCAGUAAACUAAAUACUUUGACACUUUUCUGAUUCGGAGUGAAGGCAUCUGAUUUGGGGCGUGAUGAGGGGAGCGCGGCGGUCAGAAAAGCUGCAUUAUUCAUGCCGAGACUGGGAUUCGGAGCGCCUGUGCCAUUUGCAUGCAUCAGACAUGCCGUGCGCCUGUUUGCUAACAUUCCUCACUGAAAGACUUGUUAACCGGGGCGGACGGGGCCGAGCCGGAGCCCCUCCGACCACCGUGUGGCGGCCUCUCGUCGUGUCGGGCCUCGCGCCGCCGGCCCAGACCGGACUGUCCGCCGUAGAGGAGAUGGGCUAGCUGUCGCUAAGGAGGUACGGAUCUACGUCGAGGAGAACUGGACGGAAAUUCAUCCCCUGAACAAACAUUCACCUUCUUGCUCUCUGGAGCCUGUUGUGGGAUGGAGUUCCAGCCUCUGGCGCUAAUAUUUUACCAACAAGCAACGAAGUCAAAGGCAGCAUUAUGAAGACUACCUGAUGUGCUGCUGAAACCGUGACGGGGCGGGAGGUGGAGGAGGCAGGAGGCCAGCGCCGACCCCGUUCGCCCCCAUCGCCGCUCCCUGCCACAUGUUAUGGAGCAGGUGAGAAGCAUUAACAGAGGCAGCAGCUGUGGCCCUGCGCUCCACACAUGUGGACCGGGAUGAGAGCUCUGUUGGGCUCAGCCACCCUUGUCUUGGAAACAAAGAAAAGCAACUCUAGGAAACAAGAAACCCCGCAGAGCGUUGUGUGAACGUUGCACCGCUCCGACAACGCCUCGCGGACGUGUUCAAACCUCCUGAACGUCCCCACAUUUCAUCGUGUUAUGAGCACAAACUUUAAUGUGUUUUUGUGAUGGUGGCUCCUGAAAUGAUACAAAAAAUAAAAGAUGCAUGACUUUGCAAGUAAAACUCUGAAAAGUGUGGUGUGCAUUUGCGCUGAACCUCCUUUUCUGUGAUACUCUUAAAUACAAUCCAGCGCCACCAAUUAGUGCCACUUAGUUAAUAAAUGGAGCCCACCUGUGUGUGAUUAAAUCUCAGCGUAAAAGCAGCCAUUGCUGUUUGCAGUUUGCCACCUGCCCUGCAGGGGGCGUCGUGAAAACAUUGUGUUGUGGUCAGGUGAACCCAGUGUGAGCUUAUUUUUGUAUCCAAAAUGCUAAAUUAAAGUGAUAAAUUAAUCUUACAAGCCUCCCUGACCUCGUCAUCCCCACUGUGAAACAUGGCAGUGGCAGCAUGAUGCUGUGGGGACACUUUUCUUCACCAACGAUAAGGAAGUUGGUCAAAGUCAGUGCUAAGAUAGAUGGAACUACAAUGGAAUGGUUUCCAUUAUUGCAUAUUCAUGUGAAUGGCCUAGUCAAAUGAGAAUCUGUGACAAGACUGGACUGAGGUUUUACUUCACAACUCUGCACGACUCUGUCUUAGGCCUGUUCUUGCUGGAGAACUGGCUCCCCCGCAGCAUGAUACCGCCACUGCCAUGUUUUACAAUGGAAAAAGUUCAGUUUUGGUCUCAUUGAACCAGAGCUUCUUUUUCCACGUGUGUUUUCUGUACAAACAGCACUUCUUAUAGUUUUAUUUAAUUGUUUGUUGUUUUUUUUAAACCUUUGUUUCUACGGGUUGUCUCAUUGAGAUCUCUUACAAGACGAACCUGUUUCAAUUAAACAAAACGAAUAAAAUUACAAACACAGCAACAUGAGCAAUUAAGAAAUUAACAAGCUAAUAAAAUAUCUAUUCAAAAUCAAAUUACAAACUAAUAAUUGUCCAGUUGGGAAAUAUUUAAAUGGGCUUAGUGACUUUUUUAACAGAUUUUUAAAGAAGUAUCGGGAGUAAAGUCAUGCUAAAAUCACACCUCUAUUUUUUUUUAUUUGUAAAAAUCGUGAAUUAAUUUCCUUAAUUUUCCUUAAUUAAGCACUACUUUAUGUCGAUCUAUCACACAAAAUACCAACAAAGUCCUUUGAGGUUUGUGUUUGCGACAUGACAGCAGGUAUGAAUAUAUUUAAAACAUUCUCAAUCAUCAUGUGUUGAUUAGAUCUAAUUGCUAUUUAAAUCAGCUCCACCAACGUUUCAUACGUAAACUCAAAGUGGGACAAAUAGGAGGUAAUGCUUACUAAACAUUGUUAUACUUCUGUGGUUAAACCUAUUAGUUCCAAUUACACCUGCAGCAUAUACGUUGCCUACAGGUUGCAUUUGAAUGUGAAAAUAUCUUUGCCCGCGCAAUUUGUUUGGGAAAUGGUUGCCCCAGUCAGAUCAUUUGAAUUCCCCUUCAGCCUGAGCCAUGAACUCGAAGACCCAGUUGUCACAUUGUGCUCUCCACACACAGGCUCCUUUCACGGCGCCGCGUCCCAGAGGAAAGCGCCGCGCGUGUUUGUGUUUCUGUGAAUCAUAACUGCUGCUUUGCAUUCAGCGAAGUGUGUCGAAGCGGAUUACAGGCAUGAACUCAGGCGGGAGCAGAGAGAGAGAGAAAGCUGUGUUUUUUUUUGUUUUUUUAUUUGUUUUUUUGUUGUUGUUUUUUUUACCUCAAGACUGUCCUUUGGGGUGAGGUAGUAGGUUGUAUAGUUUUAGGGGUCACACCCUUUCUGUCAGAUAACUAUACAACUUACUGUCUUUCCUGAAGUGGCUGUAAUGUCGUCAGACGCCAGCACCGGAGAACUCUGAAACCGGCUCAACAUCAGAAAUGACAAGCUUUACGGACAGAGUGGACACAGGAUCUAACCGGGACGCAGGAAUUUGAACCUUAGUUGCAAAUGGUUUGUGGCAACUUUUGGUGGUUUUGCUCUCAAGUUUAAGCUCUUGUUUUAGACAGUCAUUGCAAUUUCACCUGUUGUCUUCUGUUGUAAAACUGUUCCUUUGCCACGUCUUUUGUGAUAUGUGAAAUAUAGAAAUCAAAGCGUCACAAAAAGACCAUAUGAGGAUGGCGGGUUCCUGUUGCUGAAAGAACGCACGUUUGUUAGAGAUCGCCGAGUUCUGUGGCAAACGCUUAGGGCCUUUUCUGAUGUUCGUACGGGGUGAGGUAGUAGGUUGUGUGGUUUCGGGGUAGUGAUUUUGCCCAAUCAGGAGAUAACUAUACAACCUACUGCCUUCCCCGAAGGGCAGCAAUCCUACACCAUACAGAAACCAACAGACCCAACCAGUUUGAGUCACUGAGCCGCCUUUAGCUUGGAGAGCAGCUUUUGAUUGUCAGUGGUGCAAUAUUAGCAGCAGGUAAAAGCCUUUUUUUUUUUUUUUAACCAAAAUAAAAAGAAAAUAGAUCAUAAAAUGCUCUGUGUUCUUAUUUAAUUUAACAUUCAAUGUUGUGUGUUGCUGGUAAUGUUUUUUAAGCUAGGGCUACAUGGUGGAGCGGUUGAUAGCGCUGUAGCUUUGCAGCAAAAAGGUCCUGGGUUCAAAUCUAAGAUCUAAAUUGAUCUUAGGUUUGAGUGUGUGUGUGUGUGCGCAUAGUUGCACCCCUCUCACCCCAUGGCAACAGAUCCCAUGCAUGGACAACUGUGUACAGGGUGGAUUUCUAAACUACUGCUGACAUUGAAACUCCUCUUGUCAUGCAUCAUCCAUGACAUUCCUUAAAUGCUCCACUAAUCUGGAACAAACUACCGGAAAACUGAUGAAACACCGAGUUCUCUUUAAAUCAAGGCUAAAAACUAUUUUGUAUAAGGCUGCCUUUGAUCAAUAAUAACUGGAACGUCGUAUACUCUGA